This 107-nucleotide non-coding RNA is filed under the name Nocardioides sp. Its description in RNAcentral is "TPP sequence". It matches the Rfam family "TPP riboswitch aptamer (THI element)". From Rfam's summary of the family: Vitamin B(1) in its active form thiamin pyrophosphate (TPP) is an essential coenzyme that is synthesised by coupling of pyrimidine and thiazole moieties in bacteria. The previously detected thiamin-regulatory element, thi box was extended, resulting in a new, highly conserved RNA secondary structure, the THI element, which is widely distributed in eubacteria and also occurs in some archaea. Analysis of operon structures identified a large number of new candidate thiamin-regulated genes, mostly transporters, in various prokaryotic organisms. The record is from RNAcentral. Lineage: Bacteria; Bacillati; Actinomycetota; Actinomycetes; Propionibacteriales; Nocardioidaceae. RNAcentral also lists the same sequence under 1 other name.
GGGCACAGACAGGGGAGCACCGAAGGGUGCUGAGAGUGCGGAUCCGCCGCAGACCCUCUGAACCUGCUCCGGUUAACACCGGCGAAGGGAGUCAUCUCCAUCAUGCG